UUAGCUGGAGCACAAGAAUGACUUCUAAUCUCUCUUGGGGCAGUUCAAUUCUGUCCAUCUUAG
This 63-nucleotide transfer RNA is filed under the name Cerastoderma edule. RNAcentral's name for it is "tRNA-Ser". The record is from RNAcentral. Lineage: Eukaryota; Metazoa; Mollusca; Bivalvia; Cardiida; Cardiidae.